Molecule: long non-coding RNA, 1507 nt
Filed under: Brachypodium distachyon (stiff brome)
Lineage: Eukaryota; Viridiplantae; Streptophyta; Magnoliopsida; Poales; Poaceae
Description: long non-coding RNA (BDIS_LNC001912)
Source: RNAcentral
CAGCUCGACUAUCUAGCUUGCACAUGAUGAGACAUGGUGUGCAAGUUAACUCUCCAACAAAAAUGAUCUAAAAAAUCCUUUGCUAAAUUGCACAUUUUGAUGCAUAGUGUGUAACUUGUCAACUCCCCUGACAAAAAAAGAAAACCCUACUAACUUUCACAUCCAAACAAAUACAAGUCCUUUGUGAAAAACUAAAAAAUUGCAUGACAAUGAGUUUACGUGUACAGCUCGACUCUCUAACUUGCACAUGAUGAGGCAUGGUGUGAAUCAACUCUCCGACAAAAAGACCUAAAAAAUUCUUUUGCUAAAUUGCACAUUUUGGGGUGCGGUGUGAAACUCGUCAACUCUCAAACAAAGAAAAUCCUACUAACUUGCACAACAAAAAACAUGAUGUGCAAGUCCUUAGCGGAAACUCAAAAAUUGUGCGUCAACAGUUUACACUCAGCUCGGCUCUCUAACUUGCACAUUUUUGGGUGCGGUGUGCAACUCAUCAACUCUCUGACAAAGAAAACCUUACUAACUUGCACAACCAGAAAUAUGAUGUGCAAGUCCUCACGAAAGCUCUAAAUUUGUUUGUUAUGAGUUUGCGUGUGCAGCUCGACUCUCUAACUUGCACAUGACGAGGCAUGGUGUGUAAGUCAACUCUCCAAAAAAAAGACCUAAAAAAAAUCCUUUGCUAAAUGGCACAUUUAGGGCGCGGUGUGCAACUCGUCAACUCUCCAACGGAAAAGAAAACCCUACUAACUCGCACAACCAAAAACAUGAUGUGCAAGUCUUUCGUGAAAACUCAAAAAUCCCACGUUCAUGAGUUUACAUGUGCAACUUGACUCUCUAACUUGCACACGAUGAGACAUGGUGUGCAAGUCAACUCUCCAACAAAAAAAAUUAAAAAAAAAUCCUUUGCUAAAUUUCACAUUUUGAUGCAUGGUGUGCAACUCGUCAACUCCCCCCGACAAAAUCCUACUAACUUGCAUACCCAAGAACAUACAACUCCUUCGUGAGAACUCAAAAAUCCCGCGUCAUGAGUUUACAUGUGCAACUUGACUCUCUAACUUGCACACGAUGACACAUGGUGUGCAGUCAACUCUCCAACAAAAAGACCUAAAAAAAAACCUUUGCUAAAUUGCACAUUUUGAUGCAUGGUGUGCAACUCGUCAACUCUUUGACAAGAAAGCCCUACUAACUUGCACAACCAAAAAAAUGAUGUGCAAGUCCUUAGCGAAAGCCCAAAAAUUGUAUGUCAUGAGUUUACUUGUUCAACUCGGCUCUCUAACUUGCACACGAUGAGACAUGGUGUGCAAGUGAACUCUCUGACAAAAAGACCCUACUAACUUGCACAACGAAAAACAUGAUAUGCAAGUCCUUAGCGAAAGCUCAAAAAUUGCAAGCCAUGAGUUUAUUUGUGCAGCUCGACUCUGUAAAUUGCACAUGAUGAGGCAUGGCGUGCAAGACAACUCCAACAAAAGACCUAAAAUAAAUCCUUUUCUAAGUUGCACAUUUUGGGGCG